UUCUGCUUCGGCAGCACAUAUACUAAAAUUGGAACGAUACAGAGAAGAUUAGCAUGGCCCCUGGGCUAAAAGAUACUUGAGUGCGUCCCAUCCUUGGAUUUU
Molecule: small nuclear RNA, 102 nt
Organism: Eublepharis macularius
Lineage: Eukaryota; Metazoa; Chordata; Lepidosauria; Squamata; Eublepharidae
Source: RefSeq, a predicted model, not a curated record